AGUUAAAAGGCUAAGAAAAGCCUAAUGUCUUGAAAACAUUAAGAAAGAAGUUCAAUUCUUCUGUUAACUU
Molecule: transfer RNA, 70 nt
Filed under: Hydrecotermes kawaii
Lineage: Eukaryota; Metazoa; Arthropoda; Insecta; Blattodea; Termitidae
Description: tRNA-Ser
Rfam family: tRNA
About the family: Transfer RNA (tRNA) molecules are approximately 80 nucleotides in length. Their secondary structure includes four short double-helical elements and three loops (D, anti-codon, and T loops).
Source: RNAcentral